UCAGUGGAGCCGCUUGUCGCUCACCGCUUUUCGGUGUGAGGAAAGUCCGGGCAACCAGAGCAUCAUAUUCUCUAACGGGGAGCUAUCUGUGAAGGUAGAGUAGCAUGACAGAAAAUAACCGCCCGGUUUCUCGGGUAAGGGUGAAAAGGUGAGGUAAGAGCUCACCGGAAUUUGUAGCGAUGCAGAUUGCCGCAUGCCUUAUGAGUUGCAAGGCCAAAUAUAUCGGCGUUAUGAGGACUGCUCGUUCUCGCCGAGGGGUAGGCUGCUACGACCUGAUUUUGCUUCGGCUUUAUCGGGCGCCAGAUAAAUGACAAGCAUCUUGUGCAGGUUCUUUUUUGCGAUAACGGCACAGAUACAUAACCC
RNAcentral lists this RNase P RNA (363 nucleotides) under Muribaculaceae bacterium. Its description in RNAcentral is "partial RNase P RNA component class A". It matches the Rfam family "Bacterial RNase P class A". From Rfam's summary of the family: Ribonuclease P (RNase P) is a ubiquitous endoribonuclease, found in archaea, bacteria and eukarya as well as chloroplasts and mitochondria. Its best characterised activity is the generation of mature 5'-ends of tRNAs by cleaving the 5'-leader elements of precursor-tRNAs. Cellular RNase Ps are ribonucleoproteins. Lineage: Bacteria; Pseudomonadati; Bacteroidota; Bacteroidia; Bacteroidales; Muribaculaceae. The record is from RNAcentral.